This 270-nucleotide ribosomal RNA is filed under the name Alternaria sp. BAB-2172. RNAcentral describes it as "partial 28S ribosomal RNA". It matches the Rfam family "Eukaryotic large subunit ribosomal RNA", at positions 331 to 607 of the family's 3401-position model. The record is from RNAcentral. Lineage: Eukaryota; Fungi; Ascomycota; Dothideomycetes; Pleosporales; Pleosporaceae.
AGACCGAUAGCGAACAAGUAGAGUGAUCGAAAGAUGAAAAGCACUUUGGAAAGAGAGUCAAACAGCACGUGAAAUUGUUGAAAGGGAAGCGCUUGCAGCCAGACUUGCUUACAGUUGCUCAUCCGGGUUUUUACCCGGUGCACUCUUCUGUAGGCAGGCCAGCAUCAGUUUGGGCGGUAGGAUAAAGGUCUCUGUCACGUACCUCCUUUCGGGGAGGCCUUAUAGGGGAGACGACAUACUACCAGCCUGGACUGAGGCCGCGCAUCUGCU